GAGGGACUCAGCAAAAGGAAAAAAGGAGGCCAAGCGGCGCAGUUCCCUUGUCCCCAAUAAAAAAAACUCUCUUUCAUUUUCAUCAGUUUCAUUUAUCUUAAGUUUUUCUCUCAAUUUCACACAAAACCCAUUAACACCAAAUCCAUACUCACACCAUGACACCUCAAUCCACAAUAUAUGUUGCAUAUCUCCAUGAAGUAACCGUUUUCCACCUUGGUUCUCUUUUAACUCUUGCUUUCUUUUGUUUUUUUACAUAUAAAAUAUAUUAGUAUCCAAUAUAUAUAUCUUGCUGUUCUUAGAGAUUGUAGUGAUUGUAUGUAGAUAUAAAUAGUCAUAACUUUUAGUUUUAAUUUUAUGUGUUUUAUACUUUCAAUUUUGUUUUUUUAUAUAUAGAUCUCCUUUUUAUUUGCAGCUGUUUUAAAUGAUCAUUUAAAUAUAGAUAUUUCUUUUUGUUUUGUUAUAUAUAUAUAUAUAU
This 475-nucleotide long non-coding RNA is filed under the name Lathyrus oleraceus (garden pea). Its description in RNAcentral is "Pisum sativum (pea) long non-coding RNA (PSAT_LNC038431)". Lineage: Eukaryota; Viridiplantae; Streptophyta; Magnoliopsida; Fabales; Fabaceae. The record is from RNAcentral.